Molecule: long non-coding RNA, 248 nt
Organism: Gopherus flavomarginatus (Mexican gopher tortoise)
Lineage: Eukaryota; Metazoa; Chordata; Testudines; Testudinidae
Exons: 3
Source: RefSeq, a predicted model, not a curated record
GACAUAUUAACUGUCCCAAAUAAGGUAUGCAGUAGAAAUUCCAGUGCCAAGCUUGACUAAAAGUGUCUUGGAGAUGCAGUGAAGUUAAAUGGGAACAUUCUCUGCUGGAAGAGUCUCUGCACCUUGAAGUCUUUAAACCAUGAUUUGAGGACUUGAAUGGCUCAGACACAGGUACAGCCAAAUAUACAGUGUCUAGUGCCUACUCGAGCUCCCGCUGGGAGAAACUAAUGACAAACAAUAAAAAAAAU